GACGAACGCUGGCGGCGUGCUUAACACAUGCAAGUCGAGCGGUAAGGCCCUUUCGGGGUACGACGAGCGGCGAACGGGUGAGUAACACGUGGGUGACCUGCCCUCAGCUCUGGGAUAAGCCUGGGAAACCGGGUCUAAUACUGGAUAUGACUCCAUGACGCAUGUUGUGGGGUGGAAAGCCUUGUGCGGCUGAGGAUGGGCCCGCGGCCUAUCAGCUUGUUGGUGGGGUGAGGCCUACCAAGGCGACGACGGGUAGCCGGCCUGAGAGGGCGACCGGCCACACUGGGACUGAGACACGGCCCAGACUCCUACGGGAGGCAGCAGUGGGGAAUCUUGCGCAAUGGGCGAAAGCCUGACGCAGCGACGCCGCGUGAGGGAUGACGGGCCU
Molecule: ribosomal RNA, 388 nt
Filed under: uncultured bacterium
Lineage: Bacteria
Description: bacterial SSU rRNA
Rfam family: Bacterial small subunit ribosomal RNA
Source: RNAcentral